Molecule: RNA transcript, 7039 nt
Organism: Daucus carota subsp. sativus
Lineage: Eukaryota; Viridiplantae; Streptophyta; Magnoliopsida; Apiales; Apiaceae
Gene name: F-box/kelch-repeat protein At3g23880-like
Exons: 3
Source: RefSeq, a predicted model, not a curated record
UGACCUGGAUUUUUAAAAAUAUUUUUAUUAGUAUUAAAAGUGAUUUUUCUUAAAAAGAAGGGAAUAAGAUUUAAUAUUUUAUUCCAGUUUAAUGAGUUUUCAAGGUUUUAUAUUUAAACCCCGGGUUAUUGUGUUAUUGAUAAAUAAUUGUAUUUUUAAAACUGAUUUUCAUAUAUUGUUUUGAAAAUUUUAGAUGAUUAUUAUGUGAAUAUAUGUGUGAUGUGAGUAAGUGGUAUUGGUGGAUUUGUUGGUUAAUUAAUUAUGGUUAAUUAUGAGUAUUAUAUGAUUAAUAUAUGAAUUUUUGUGAAUUUUAUAUUAUCUGGUUUAUUGCGUUAACUGCUCAUAUGUGUUCGUAUUUGAGAGAUUUCAAUUUCUAUAUGCUCAGGAGAAAAUAUAGUUUAUUUGGAUAUUUUCAUAUCGAUUUAUGGAAUGUUAGAUGAUUUUAUAAUCGAUUUACGGAUUUAAUUGUGUAUAUUUAUAUUUAUUUAUUAAUUAUGUGACUUCCGUAAAACCGUCCACUCGUAACGGUGUAGCGAUUUUUCUUCCCGGAAGUUUCGAGAAAACUUACCUUUAGCCUAAUUUCAAUAUUCCGGACAUUUUUCGUGUUUUGACUUUUUCGAUCCGGAGUACGGUUUUCCCCGGAGUCGGUCCGGCGGAGUUUUUCGGGUAUUUUAAUUGUUGAUAAUUAUCCAGUUUGUCUCGAUAAGCGUGAAACGAGAUAUUUUGAUUAUUAUAUUCAUCCUUAUCUUGUAAUAAUUGCAAUGGGACCCGCAGACCAAUAAUUGAGUUAAAAAGCCCCGUUUUGAUGAUUAUCUCGAAAACCGGUACCGAUUGGACCCCGCUUUAUUAAUAUAAAGCUAUUAAAUACGUAUUUUCAUGUCAUAAACGAUCCAAAGGGGUACCAAUUAUUUGUAAAUAUAAAUAGACUUUCCUGUAACUUAUUUUCACCGUAGAAAUCAUUUCAACAGUUUCUCUGCACGAAUAUCGAGAGAAACCGAGCGGUGUUCUUCGUGUUCUUCAUAAUCAAACGAAGAUUUGAAGGUGUUAUUGGAAUCCGAUGGAGGCGUAUAAAUAGUCAAAACGAGGCUAUCGACGCGUAGAAUCAAGCUUAAUCAUCCGUUUAUAUGCAGAUUCAACAGGAUUUGGACGAGACGUGUACGCUCGAAGACGUCAGAAAGUCGGAAUGGUAUUGCAAAGCGAAUAAGGGAUGAUUGAGUAAGCGAAGCGAAGUGGCGAAUAGAGUAUAGCUAGAGAUGGUCUAGAGAUUACGAGAUGCAUAGAUUGUGAAAGUUGAAAGAUGAGGUUGAGCUAUGAAACUGGAGUCAGAUUUAAGGCAAGUAUCCUAAACCUUUCUCUUGGAUAUAUUGCAAAUAUUCUGAUCCAUUCCUUUGGUAUAUGUUUCAAGUAUUCAUACCUUUCUUUUCAAUGUUCGAAAGUGCGAGUAUUCUGACCCAUUCUUUCUAAUCUUCAAGUUUCUAAAGAAUUUCCGUUUUACAAAUUAAUUCGAAGUUCAGAUUGUCAUUGAAGCAUGUGUUGCUCAGUGAUAGUUAGAGCUUUGAAUGAAUUGGGAUCUUCUUGAUUAUUCAACCCGCCAUUGUCAUGCUGGUUUAGCAGGCUAAAUUCAGUUGCUUAGCCGAUAAUGGAGGAUACUGAAUAGUUGAGGAUUUCCUGAACUGUGAUUUAUGAAAUGAUGGAUCAUGAUUUAUGAAUAGAUUAUUAUCAAAGUUUGAAUUGGAAUUAUUCUGUUGUUGAUGAUAUUUAUGAUGAUGUUCUGUUAAUUUACAUUGGCUUCUUGAAUUGAAUUAGAGAAUUGGAUUAUUGUUUUUAUAUAAACCUGUGGACCAGAUUCGUGGUCAUGUUAGGCCAAUGAGUGCCUUGGAUCCAGUGAUAGAGCAUGGCGGGGCCUGCUCGGGGUUAGUGCGGAACUGAUCAGCUGCCUAACCUUGGUUUUAAUUAAAAUGUGAUAGUCCAAUUCAAUAAUUCUUUGGAAAGAUUGAAUUUCUCAGUUUAAAUGCUGCAAGGUAUUGUAAAUCAUUCUAUACAAUACCAUGAACUCAUGAAAUCAGGUUGAAUCCUCUUAUAUCUUGAACUCGUGAACUUUUGUUAUAUCAUUUCAGAACUAUCAUUGUUUAUUAUUACUUGCUGAGCAUUGUUGCUCACCCUUGCUAUUCCUUUCUAACCAUUUCAGAAAGGCUUAAAGUUGAGAUGAUUGAUUGAGAUUGUGGAUAAGGCUAAUGCUAGGCGAGGAGACAGAGUUGAGGAUCCAGUGGUUGAGGAGUGUUCAGGAAAGUUGAUGAGGUUGGUGCAAGCUAGAGCUGUGCUAUAGGGUUUCAAGUGUAAGUCAUAGCUAGAAUAGUUGACAGUGAUUCCUCUUAUCGAAGAUGAUCUGAUUUGGUAAGAAAUGCUGUGUAAUAUUAGUGGUGGAUUCUAAUUUCAAUACUGUAACCUGGAUGCGAUCCUGUUGUUUUAGGGGGUUGAAAUGUGCUCUUUCAAAUAUUUUAUGAUGGCUUUCAAGUUUUGAAUUUCAAGUUUUAAAAUUCUUUUGGAUUUUCAUUAUCUUUAUAUAAAAAAAAAUAUUGCAGGUUUUUUUUAAGGUGUUUUAAAAAUGGUUUUUGUGUGGUGACGUCAGAAUCCAGACCCCCGGAUUCUCGGACUGUCACAGUUGGUAUCAGAGCAACAGGUUAUAAGUAUUUGAAAUUAGAAUAUAGAUCAUAGUUAUAGGUUUUCUAGAGAAGAAUGUUGGGUGACCUCGGAUAGAGGUAUUGUGAGACUAUUUAGAAAUAGUCUAGGGAUGUGAUAGAGAAAUAGAAUCUAGUUAGAUGAUUAAGUUGAGUGCAUAAGUUUGGAGAGAUUUUGAUUCCUAAGUUAGACAUAUGAUUUUUGGUAUGUUGACUAAUUGAGAUGAUGAAUUGUGAGAAAGGUCAAGAUUAGACCUAGAUAGAAAAGUUGAUAGUGAAUGAUUGAGUUGAGAAUGGUGAAAAUGCAGAGUUCAGAGUAUUCUGACUAUACUGCAUAGUUGAAAAUGGUCUAUGGUAUUGAUUUGAGAAGGAUAAAGAUGCAUGGUUCAUAGUAUGUUGACCAUGUUAGAUAUUUGGAAGAGGUAUGUUGUUUUUGUGAGAUAUGAAGAGUUAGUGUAAGAUAUGAGUUGCACAGAAUUAGAAGGAGAGACUUGUAUAUAGAGGUUGAUAGAUGAGAAGUGUAUGAUAGAGAGUAAGUGAAGUUGAUUCAGGUUAUUAGAAGCGAUAUUUGCGAGUAAUUUAGAAUGUGAAUUCUCACGACGACGUUUUAAGUUAAGCGGGACAAGGUGGGCCCAUAACCCACAGGGCGACGAUCCAGAAAAUCGAAGAUAUGCUACGUGUGGUGUUAUGGACUUCAAAGGCAACUGGAUGAAGCAUGAGAACGUGAACUACUUGGGUCAGACUUAUUACGAACGAUAACGUCUACGAUGACAUCUUAUGAGGCUAUUACGAGUUAAAUCGAUUGAUUAUCGAGAACGUUGAAAGGAUGACAUAAAUCGAAUAACGAUUUCGUAAAGUAGAGUGGGAAUUUGAGAAGACCUUGGCAAUACCUCUCUUCAACUAAAGGUUCUUUUGAUUGUUUUCUCAUCAGUGAGAUAUUAUCAUGAUAUCUUUUCUACAAAAGUUUUGAUAAAUGAGAUCUUCAAUUUCUCAAAUUCUAAGAUGACAUUGGUAUUGAUUAUUGGUAUGAGUUGGAAAGCAAAGAUGUGUGAUAAAGGUUUGUUGUAAAGAGAUAGUGAUGUUCCUUGAUAUUGUUUGACAUUUCUUGACAUUCCUUGAUACCCUUUCAUCUACCUUGAUAUCCCUUAGUGUUCUUUGAUAUUGUUGAUAUUCAUUGAUAUUCUCUGAUAUUCCUUAACAUUUCUUCAAUUUGAUUGGGAUGAACAACCCUAUUUAUAGGGGACACAAGGUAUACCUGUCUGUGUGAUAGGAGUUGGAUGGGACGCCAUCACUUGUGUGUGUUGUGAUUACAAGAAGGUUAACAACCUUUAGUAGUGUCUAAUGUGGACACGCAACACCAAGUUCGUUGAUCAUAUAGAUCUCUCAGUCACUCCUUUAUUCAAAUGUGAUCUACCUUGAAAACAUUUUGUUCUAUUCAAAAUUCCACAAGAUUGAUUCUUGGGAAAUGAAUUUUGCAAUUGUAAAAGUUUGAUUUUCCUUUUUCAUUAAAGUUAAAGGUAUGCCAAGAUCAACCAAAGGUGAAUGACGAUAUGAUAUUACGAAGCGUGUACGUUUUAGUUUCUUCGGAGGAUUCGAGGACGGAAUCCUUAUAAGGGGGUCAUUCCUGUAAUAUCCCAUAUUAUUAAAUUUAGAUGUGAUUAUUAUAAAUCUAUUUGUCUAGAUAUUAUUGUUGGCUCUAGUUGAAUAUUGAUAUGAUUAUGUGAAUAGUUGUAUGUGAUUAUACUUGUUAUGUGGAUUAAUAUGGAUUUUACAGAUUAUGCAUCCUCCUUCUUUUUCUGAUUCCGAGGACGGAAUCCCUAUAAGGAGGGUAGAUUGUAAUGACCUGGAUUUUUAAAAAUAUUUUUAUUAGUAUUAAAAGUGAUUUUUCUUAAAAAGAAGGGAAUAAGAUUUAAUAUUUUAUUCCAGUUUAAUGAGUUUUCAAGGUUUUAUAUUUAAACCCCGGGUUAUUGUGUUAUUGAUAAAUAAUUGUAUUUUUAAAACUGAUUUUCAUAUAUUGUUUUGAAAAUUUUAGAUGAUUAUUAUGUGAAUAUAUGUGUGAUGUGAGUAAGUGGUAUUGGUGGAUUUGUUGGUUAAUUAAUUAUGGUUAAUUAUGAGUAUUAUAUGAUUAAUAUAUGAAUUUUUGUGAAUUUUAUAUUAUCUGGUUUAUUGCGUUAACUGCUCAUAUGUGUUCGUAUUUGAGAGAUUUCAAUUUCUAUAUGCUCAGGAGAAAAUAUAGUUUAUUUGGAUAUUUUCAUAUCGAUUUAUGGAAUGUUAGAUGAUUUUAUAAUCGAUUUACGGAUUUAAUUGUGUAUAUUUAUAUUUAUUUAUUAAUUAUGUGACUUCCGUAAAACCGUCCACUCGUAACGGUGUAGCGAUUUUUCUUCCCGGAAGUUUCGAGAAAACUUACCUUUAGCCUAAUUUCAAUAUUCCGGACAUUUUUCGUGUUUUGACUUUUUCGAUCCGGAGUACGGUUUUCCCCGGAGUCGGUCCGGCGGAGUUUUUCGGGUAUUUUAAUUGUUGAUAAUUAUCCAGUUUGUCUCGAUAAGCGUGAAACGAGAUAUUUUGAUUAUUAUAUUCAUCCUUAUCUUGUAAUAAUUGCAAUGGGACCCGCAGACCAAUAAUUGAGUUAAAAAGCCCCGUUUUGAUGAUUAUCUCGAAAACCGGUACCGAUUGGACCCCGCUUUAUUAAUAUAAAGCUAUUAAAUACGUAUUUUCAUGUCAUAAACGAUCCAAAGGGGUACCAAUUAUUUGUAAAUAUAAAUAGACUUUCCUGUAACUUAUUUUCACCGUAGAAAUCAUUUCAACAGUUUCUCUGCACGAAUAUCGAGAGAAACCGAGCGGUGUUCUUCGUGUUCUUCAUAAUCAAACGAAGAUUUGAAGGUGUUAUUGGAAUCCGAUGGAGGCGUAUAAAUAGUCAAAACGAGGCUAUCGACGCGUAGAAUCAAGCUUAAUCAUCCGUUUAUAUGCAGAUUCAACAGGAUUUGGACGAGACGUGUACGCUCGAAGACGUCAGAAAGUCGGAAUGGUAUUGCAAAGCGAAUAAGGGAUGAUUGAGUAAGCGAAGCGAAGUGGCGAAUAGAGUAUAGCUAGAGAUGGUCUAGAGAUUACGAGAUGCAUAGAUUGUGAAAGUUGAAAGAUGAGGUUGAGCUAUGAAACUGGAGUCAGAUUUAAGGCAAGUAUCCUAAACCUUUCUCUUGGAUAUAUUGCAAAUAUUCUGAUCCAUUCCUUUGGUAUAUGUUUCAAGUAUUCAUACCUUUCUUUUCAAUGUUCGAAAGUGCGAGUAUUCUGACCCAUUCUUUCUAAUCUUCAAGUUUCUAAAGAAUUUCCGUUUUACAAAUUAAUUCGAAGUUCAGAUUGUCAUUGAAGCAUGUGUUGCUCAGUGAUAGUUAGAGCUUUGAAUGAAUUGGGAUCUUCUUGAUUAUUCAACCCGCCAUUGUCAUGCUGGUUUAGCAGGCUAAAUUCAGUUGCUUAGCCGAUAAUGGAGGAUACUGAAUAGUUGAGGAUUUCCUGAACUGUGAUUUAUGAAAUGAUGGAUCAUGAUUUAUGAAUAGAUUAUUAUCAAAGUUUGAAUUGGAAUUAUUCUGUUGUUGAUGAUAUUUAUGAUGAUGUUCUGUUAAUUUACAUUGGCUUCUUGAAUUGAAUUAGAGAAUUGGAUUAUUGUUUUUAUAUAAACCUGUGGACCAGAUUCGUGGUCAUGUUAGGCCAAUGAGUGCCUUGGAUCCAGUGAUAGAGCAUGGCGGGGCCUGCUCGGGGUUAGUGCGGAACUGAUCAGCUGCCUAACCUUGGUUUUAAUUAAAAUGUGAUAGUCCAAUUCAAUAAUUCUUUGGAAAGAUUGAAUUUCUCAGUUUAAAUGCUGCAAGGUAUUGUAAAUCAUUCUAUACAAUACCAUGAACUCAUGAAAUCAGGUUGAAUCCUCUUAUAUCUUGAACUCGUGAACUUUUGUUAUAUCAUUUCAGAACUAUCAUUGUUUAUUAUUACUUGCUGAGCAUUGUUGCUCACCCUUGCUAUUCCUUUCUAACCAUUUCAGAAAGGCUUAAAGUUGAGAUGAUUGAUUGAGAUUGUGGAUAAGGCUAAUGCUAGGCGAGGAGACAGAGUUGAGGAUCCAGUGGUUGAGGAGUGUUCAGGAAAGUUGAUGAGGUUGGUGCAAGCUAGAGCUGUGCUAUAGGGUUUCAAGUGUAAGUCAUAGCUAGAAUAGUUGACAGUGAUUCCUCUUAUCGAAGAUGAUCUGAUUUGGUAAGAAAUGCUGUGUAAUAUUAGUGGUGGAUUCUAAUUUCAAUACUGUAACCUGGAUGCGAUCCUGUUGUUUUAGGGGGUUGAAAUGUGCUCUUUCAAAUAUUUUAUGAUGGCUUUCAAGUUUUGAA